AUUGAACGCUGGCGGCAGGCCCAACACAUGCAAGUCGAACGGUAACAGGAAGAAGCUUGCUUCUUUGCUGACGAGUGGCGGACGGGUGAGUAAUGUCUGUGAAACUGCCUGAUGGAGGGGGAUAACUACUGGAAACGGUAGCUAAUACCGCAUAACGUCGCAAGACCAAAGAGGGGGACCUUCGGGCCUCUUGUCAUCGGAUGUGCCCAGGUGGGAUUAGCUAGUAGGUGGGGUAACGGCUCACCUAGGCGACGAUCCCUAGCUGGUCUGAGAGGAUGACCAGCCACACUAGAACUGAGACACGGUCCAGACUCCUACGGGAGGCAGCAGUGGGGAAUAUUGCACAAUGGGCGCAAGCCUGAUGCAGCCAUGCCGCGUGUAUGAAGAAGGCCUUCGGGUUGUAAAGUACUUUCAGCGGGGAGGAAGGGAGUAAAGUUAAUACCUUUGCUAAUUGACGUUACCCGCAGAAGAAGCACCGGCUAACUCCGUG
This 490-nucleotide ribosomal RNA is filed under the name uncultured bacterium. RNAcentral describes it as "partial 16S ribosomal RNA". It matches the Rfam family "Bacterial small subunit ribosomal RNA", at positions 30 to 507 of the family's 1533-position model. The record is from RNAcentral.